AGGGGGGGCUCGUGUACAUGCAGUCGAGCGGACCGGUCGGAGCUUGCUCUGGUUUGGUCAGCGGCGGACGGGUGAGUAACACGUGGGCAACCUGCCCGCAAGACCGGGAUAACUCCGGGAAACCGGAGCUAAUACCGGAUAACACCGAAGACCGCAUGGUCUUUGGUUGAAAGGCGGCCUUUGGCUGUCACUUGCGGAUGGGCCCGCGGCGCAUUAGCUAGUUGGUGAGGUAACGGCUCACCAAGGCGACGAUGCGUAGCCGGCCUGAGAGGGUGACCGGCCACACUGGGACUGAGACACGGCCCAGACUCCUACGGGAGGCAGCAGUAGGGAAUCUUCCGCAAUGGGCGAAAGCCUGACGGAGCGACGCCGCGUGAGCGAAGAAGGCCUUCGGGUCGUAAAGCUCUGUUGUGAGGGACGAAGGAGCGCCGUUCGAAGAGGGCGGCGCGGUGACGGUACCUCACGAGGAAGCCCCGGCUAACUACGUGCCAGCAGCCGCGGUAAUACGUAGGGGGCGAGCGUUGUCCGGAAUUAUUGGGCGUAAAGCGCGCGCAGGCGGUCCCUUAAGUCUGAUGUGAAAGCCCACGGCUCAACCGUGGAGGGUCAUUGGAAACUGGGGGACUUGAGUGCAGGAGAGGAGAGCGGAAUUCCACGUGUAGCGGUGAAAUGCGUAGAGAUGUGGAGGAACACCAGUGGCGAAAGCGGCUCUCUGGCCUGCAACUGACGCUGAGGCGCGAAAGCGUGGGGAGCAAACAGAUUAGAUACCCUGGUAGUCCACGCCGUAAACGAUGAGUGCUAGUGUUAGAGGGGUCACACCCUUUAGUGCUGCAGCUACGCGAUAGCACUCCGCUGGGGAGUACGCGCAGCCUGAAACUCAAGAUGACGGGGCCCGCACAGCGGGUGGAGCAUGGUGAUUAUC
RNAcentral lists this ribosomal RNA (919 nucleotides) under Geobacillus thermoleovorans. RNAcentral describes it as "bacterial SSU rRNA". It matches the Rfam family "Bacterial small subunit ribosomal RNA", at positions 38 to 950 of the family's 1533-position model. The record is from RNAcentral. Lineage: Bacteria; Bacillati; Bacillota; Bacilli; Caryophanales; Anoxybacillaceae.